RNAcentral lists this ribosomal RNA (525 nucleotides) under Aplotarsus incanus. RNAcentral's name for it is "partial 16S ribosomal RNA". It matches the Rfam family "Bacterial large subunit ribosomal RNA", at positions 1816 to 2610 of the family's 2925-position model. The record is from RNAcentral. Lineage: Eukaryota; Metazoa; Arthropoda; Insecta; Coleoptera; Elateridae.
CAUGUCUUUUUGAUUAUAAUUUAAGGUCUAAUCUGCUCAAUGAGGAUUUAAAUUGCCGCGGUAUUUUGACCGUGCAAAGGUAGCAUAAUAAUUAGUUUUUUUAUUGAAAGCUGGAAUGAACGAUUGGACGAGAGAAUAGCUGUCUCUGAAGGAUUAUUUUUUGAAUUUAACUUUUAAGUUAAAAGGCUUAAAUUAAUUUUAAAGACGAGAAGACCCUAUAGAGUUUGAUGACUUUGUGUAUUAAGAAUUUUUGGUUAUUUAUAUUUUAAUAUUUUUCGUUAUUUGGUUGGGGUGAUCUGAAGAUUAAAUAAACUCUUCUAUAUUUAUUAGUCACUGAUUUGUGAACAUAUAAUCUAAUUUUUUUAAAUUUAAAAUAAAUUACCUUAGGGAUAACAGCGUAAUUUUUCUUUAGAGUUCUUAUUAAAAGAAAAGUUUGCGACCUCGAUGUUGGAUUAAAAUUAAUUUUUGGUGCAGGAGCUAAAAAAUUGGGUCUGUUCGACCUUUAAAAUUUUACAUGAUCUGAGU